GCCCUGCCUGAUCCUCGGGCUCUUGGAAUUCCGGCAGAGAAGAGCAGGGUGGCCAGUGGAUAGUGAGCAGCUCCCAGAGACGGGGUUUCACCAUGUUCGUCAGGCUGGUCUCGAACUUCCAACCUUGUGAUCCUCCUGCCUCGGCCUCCCAAAGUGCUGGAAUUACAGGCAUGAGCCACCAUGCCUGGCCACCCCCCCUUUUUAUUUUUUAAAUAGAAAUCUAAUUCUUGAGGCACAGCUCAAGCUUCUCCUUUUGGGAAAACAAUUAAGUCAUUUGUUUUUACUUAUUAUGUUUCUUUUUUUCAAAUAUUUUGUGUGUGUAUAUAUAUUUUAUUAUACUUUAAGCUCUGAGAUACAUGUGCAGAACGUGUGGGUUUGUUACAUAGGUAUACAAGUGCCAUGGUGGUUUGCUGCACCUGUCAACCUGUCAUCUACAUUAGAUAUUUCUCGUAAUGCUAUCCCUCCUUUAGCUCCACUCCUCUCAGGUCACCCUUUACUGCUUGAAUGGGGCUUCUGCAACCAACUCUCUUGCCACCCAGAAAUUUCAAAAGAAUUUUACCCAGCAGGGAGGCCCAGAAACUUUACAAUUUGGCCUCUUAAAUUUCAUCAGCCUGCAAUGAUGAAAUUCUUACCCAUACAAGGCCAGUGCCACGGCUGUGAUAAUGAGGAUUGCAUUAAAAUUACUCUUUUCUUUGACCCUGAAAUCAUCAGAUUCUGCUGAUCUGCUUGUUUGCAUUAAAGAUACUGGUUACUUCAUUCCAUAUUGGGGUCUUGCUCACAUGGCAUGCAGUAUUGUGUAGUGGAGAUAAAAAAACAAAACCAAAAGCUUCAGAGUCCAACAGCCCUGAGUUGAAAUCCCAGACAUACCCUGGACUGGCUGUGUGACUCUGGGAGCUAGCGACACUUGGCGAUUUGGCUGUGUAUGUCUCCUGGGAGGCACGGAGGGAGCCAGAUCCCGGACAGAAGAACCACCUAGAAAUAACUUGGCAGAAUUCUGAAAAUGAGGUCAUGCUGGAUAGGGUUUCGCCAUGUCGCUCAGGCUGGUCUCAAACUCCUGGACUCAAGUCAUCCACCCGUCUUGGCUGCCUACAUCACUGGGAUUACAGCUAAGAAAACUGAGGCUAAGCGAUGCUGGUUGACUUGCCCAAGGCCACACAGCUGGUAACAGGGACUGGCGGUCACUUGAGUCCUCCAUCAGUACUGGUGCUACUACAGCAGCUCCUCCCCUUUCUAGAGGCCUGGAUGGAAAGAUGCUGGUGUCAGCAAGAGGCACGAAGGUCCACCCAGUCCCAGACAUGCAGAGAAGCAUCAUUUGUUGCUGAUAACAAAGUCCUUGGUCUGCACGGGUGCCAGGUGUGAGUGGUGACUAGAGCAGCAGGGUCCAUCCUGCUUCUAUCUAGGAAGAUGUGACCUCUGUGAGUGAAGAGAGGUUCUACUUGGCUCUUUGUUCCAUCCCAAGAUGUGGUGUCAUAGACCUGGACUGUGCCAUCAAAACCUGAGAAUACAGAAAAGAGAGGUUUGACAAUGAAUCCCUAAAAUACUUUUAUUUUAAAAUAUUUUUUUCUUUCUCUUUUUUUUUUUUUUUGAGACGGAGUUUCGCUCAUUACCCAGGCUGGAGUGCAAUAAAUAGUGCGAUCUCGGCUCACCGCAACCUCCACCUCCUGGGUUCAGGCAAUUCUCCUGCCUCAGCCUCCUGAGUAGCUGGGAUUACAGGCACGCGCCACCAUGCCCAGCUAAUUUUUGUAUUUUUAGUAGAGACGGGCUUUCACCAUGUUGACCAGGAUGGUCUCGAUCUCUUGACCUUGUGAUCCACCCGCCUUGGCCUCCCAAAGUGCUGGGAUUACAGGCGUGAGCCACCACGCCCGGCCUUUCUUUCUUUCUUAAUACAGAUGGGGUUUUGCUAUGUUGACCAGGCUGGGCUCAAUUCCUGGCCUCAAGUGAUCCUCCCAUCUCAGCCUCCCAAAGUGCUGGGAUUACAGGUGUCAGCCACUGCACCCAGCCCCUAAAAGACUUAUAAUUUAUUUGGUGGUACCAAACAGGCUAUUGGAUGAGGAAUCAAGGCACUUAAAGGCUAACCAUGGUAACAGAAGCCUUUGGAGAGGAAUAGUCUCAUGUCCCUGCAUGAUCUAGCUGCACACACACUCAUCCCAUCCUGCCAUCUUCCUGUUACUGAAGAGCCCACUCCUCUACCUGAGCUUGGCUCUUCUGUUCUUUCUGGAUCCUGGCAUUUCCAAUCAUCCUUUCUUAGUCUCUUGGUUUUUUUAACCCCCACCCGCCACGACAGAUCCUUCCUGUUGGCUUUUAGAUACCCACAUUAAAUACCCCCAAGCAACUCGAUGCCAUCAGACUAGACUCAGGAGCCUGCUGACCUAGCUGGCUUGCUACCUUUCAAAAGGCAGAUGGGCUGAGAAGUAUCCUUGAGGUCCUGUCCCCUCUUCUGACAUAGCCCAUGGCUGUCCCAGUGUCUUAUCUGCAGGCCCCUCCUGAGACCUGAAUUCCUGCUAGGCUAGGAAAGGCCUGCUGCCAGUGUGUGGAAGUUAGUAGGCAGAGUGGAGAAAGGCCUGCCACUGAAGAACCUGGAGAGUUAAUUUACAGUUUCUCUGUGAGCAACUUUGACUUCUGGAGCCAGGUUUAUCACGGUGCUACAGGCUCCUUCCUGAGCACCUUACGGUUCCCUGAAAGAAAGAGAUCAGGUAACAGACACGAAAUCCUGUUCAGCAGUACCUGAGAUGGCCAAGCAGUUCUUAAGGCCUGGGGCCCAAGUCACUCGCAGCAGCUCUGGGUCAGGACUGAGUAUGGAUACUGGGCACUGCACUGAGCUCACAGGAUGGCAGAGAUCCCGGGGGUCAAGGAGACAGAGCCGCCCAUCUGAGCCAAGGCUGGCAAUGCUGGGCCCAGGGCCCUGGCCCUUGUUCCCAACUUCAGCACACCAUCUCUCUCCAGAACCAGGCCCGGGGCUGCGAUUCUCCAACGGUGCCCACUUCUGGCGGGUAUCAACAAGCCCCAGCCGGCCGGAAGCACAGCAGAAGGCAAAGGUGUCUGCAUCUAGGACCUGCAGGCUACUCAGCUCCUCACUGUCACUGACAUCUAGAAGACCAAAAGCAAAGGAGGCAGAUGGGUCUGGUGAUUUGGCAGGGCUGGCUGGUCACAAGUCCCUUCCCACCAGUCCCAGGCAAAAUAAAUCACAUCUCCCUUCCCACUCAUCUCACUAUUUUCUGCUCAGCUGUUUGGGUGCUGAUACCUGGGACUGCCUAAUCCUGCCCCAGCAUGGGAGCCCUUUGAGGCCAGGGCUCAUCUCUUAUUCACUGUGCUUCCCCAACACCUGGCACAGAGGGUUGAACUCAGUUUCCACAGUGGCUGAGUUGGGCUGAGAGGCGAUGCCGGCUGCAGCAGCCAGCAAGGGACAAAAUACUGUAGUACCUGUGGUGUACGUGGUUUUCGCGGACUCCAGAUCUGUGACCUGCAGACUGCGGAGCCUUGCCCCGUGGAGGACUCCAGGUGCCAUCGAGGAGAAGACAGCCACCCUAGGCCAGAGACUCUCCUCUUUAUCAUGCACAGCAAUGGUGCAGACAGCUUUAAUGACAUCUGGGAGAAAAGGAAAAGAGGCCAAAAUCUAGAACUUUAAUAAAGGUUUGAAACAUGACAGGCCAGCCAGCUGUCGUCCGCUAUACCUUUAGAAGGUCAAGGAAGAAAAGGAGUGGCCAGUUGGCAAAAGGUGAUGUUGAGACAUAACCACUCUGGCUUAUGUUUACAUUUCAAUUUCUUUAUUAUUUGUCUUAAACUUUUUUGCAAAUGGAAACUAAUACCAUCUCAAAACCCAAAAAACAGUUCUGGCUUUUAAUAGUUGUGAACAGGUAGAAGCAAAGAAAAGGAAAGAACAUGCUGAUGUCAUUUACACCUUCAGUGACAAGUAACAGGUACAGAAUUCAUGAACUGGUAUUACUUCUUCAAAAACGUGUUCCAUGACCUCAUGGGACUUGCUAAAGCCUAGCAAGUACAGGUUACAUCACAGAUGCCACUGUCUUCAAAUGUAAGUUGGACAAGAGGGUCCACAUCUUUUUGACACUGAAUGGAACAACAUCCUUGGCUUUGAGUAAAGUUUUAGUUCUUUGUUUGUUUGAGACAGAGUCUUGCUCUGUCGCCCAGGCUGGAGUGCAGUGGCACAAUCUUAGCUCACUGUAGCCUCUGCCUCUCAGGUUCAAACACUUCUCCUGCCUCAGCCUCCCAAGUAGCUGGGACUACAGGCGUGCACCACCAUGCCCAGCUAAUUUUUUUUGUAUUUUUUUAGUAGAGACGGGGUUUCACCUUGUUGCCCAGGAUGGUCUCGAUCUCUUGACCUUGUGAUCCACCUGUCUCGGCCUCCCAAAGUGCUGGGAUUAUAGGCGUGAGCCAACACGCCCGGCCCAGAUUGGGCUUAAACUCCUGACUUCAGACGGCCCACCUGCCUCAGUCUCCCAAAGUGUUGGGAUUACAGGUGUGAGCCACUUUACAUGGCCUUUUUUUUUUCUUUUUGAGAUGGAGUCUCACUGUUGCCAGGCUCUCACUGUUGCCAGGAUGGAGUGCAGUGGCGUGAUCUUGGCUCACUACAACCUCUGCCUCCCAGGUUCAAGCGAUUCCCCUGCCUCAGCCUCCUGAGUAGCUGAGACUACAGGUGUGUACCACCAUGCCCAGCUAAUUUUUGUAUUUUUAGUAGAGACAUGGUUUCACCAUAUUGGCCAGGAUGGUCUCAAACUUCUGACCUCAGGUGAUCUGCCCACUUCAGCCUCCCAAAGCGCUGGGAUUACAGGUGUGUGCCACGGUGCUGGCCUCAACAUUCUUAAUCAUUAGGGUUAAUGCAAAUGAAUGCCUCAAUAAUAUAUAAUUACACAUCUAUUAAAUAUAUAAUUACACAUCUAUUAAAAUGGCUUUAUUUCAAAAAGACAGAUAAUAACAAAUGUUGGUGAGGACAUGGAAAAAUGGGAACCCUUAUAUACAUUGCUGGUGGGAACAUAAACAAUUCUUUGCUGAGCACAGUGGCUCUGCCUGAAAUCCCAACACUUUCAGAGGCUGAGGCAGGCAGAUCACAAGGUCAGGAGAUCAAGACCAUCCUGGCCAAGAAGGUGGAACCCUGUCGCUACUAAAAAUACAAAAAUUAGCUGGGUGUGGUGGUGUAUGCCUGCUAAUCCCAGCUACUUGGGAGGCUAAGGCAGGAGAAUCACUUGAAGCUGGGAGGCAGAGAUUGCAGUGAGCCAAGAUUUAGCCACUGUACUGAGUAAGACUCCAUCAUAAAGUAAAAUAAAUAAAAUUAAGUUUAAGAAAAUAAAAUAAACCCAUUUUGGAAAAGUGUAAAAGUGUCCCUAAAAAUUAAAACAUAAAUUUACCUUAAGACCCAGCAAUGCUGGGUGCAGUGACUCAAGCCUGUAAUCCCAGCAUAUUGGGAGGCUGAGGCAGGCGUAUCACCUGAGGUCAGGAGUUCAAGACCAGCCUGGCCAACAUGGUAAAACCCUGUCUUUACAAAAAUACAAAAAAAAACCUAGGCAGGCAUGAAGGUGGGUAACCCCAGCUACUUGGGAGGCUGAGGUGGGAGAAUCGCCUGAACUUGGGAAUGGAGGUUGCAGUGAGCUGAGAUUAUGCCACUGCACUCCACCCUGGGCAACAAGAGUGAAACUCCAUCUCUAAAUAAAUAAAUAAAUAAAUACACCCAGCAAUUCCAUUUCUGGUUGUCUCUCCAAAAUAAAUGAAAUCAUUUGUCCACACAAAGCCUUGUGCAUUAAUGUUCUUAGCAGGAUUAUUCAUAAUAGCCAAAAACUGGAUCCACCAACUAGUGAAUGGAUGGACAAAAUGUGGUGCAUUCACACACACAAUGGAAUACUACUAUCCAGUCAAAAACAGGAACAAACUGCCGGCUCACGCUAUGACAUGAACAGACUACAGAAGUGCGAUGCUAAGUUCAGAGAGCCAGACACAGAGACAUGUUGUAUGUAUAAUGCCAGUGAUACAUGUCCGGAGAAGGCAAAUCUAUUCCAGAGACAGAAGUAGAUUAGUGGUGGCCUGGGGCAGGGUGUUGGAAUGGGAUGAACAGUAAAUGGCACAAUGGAUCUCACUGGGGUAAGGAAAAGGUUGGAAAGCUGAUCUACAGUGAUGCCUGCACAACUUGUUAAAUUUACUAAAAAGGUCACUGAAUUGUACGUUUUUUUUUUAAUGGGUGAAUUAUGUGAUAUGUCAAAACAUAACAAAAUUAUGGAAAAAAACCCCAACAACUAUAAGUAAGUAAAACAAAUGAUCAGAAGUGACAGCACAGGACAAGUGACAACUAGGAAAGCCCACGGUGACCACAGAGAACAAAUGAGCACAAGAACUGCCCCUCUGUGGCAGUGAAGCCUGAGGGGAAGCCAACAGCUGCUGGGCAAUUUCUGGGAAGCUUCCAAGUGAGGCAGCAUGGGGACUGGGCCUGUGCCUCUGAGACUCACUUCUAUGCUGGCCAAGGAAGCCCUAACUGAAGGAGGGACAGAAGGGGCUGGAUUAAGCUAGAGGGCUGCAUGCUCUGGUAUCUGCCUGACAGGGGACCCACAGACCCACAGCUGGAGGGAACACUAUUCCCCACGGGGGAACUUCCCUCCACUCCCAGAAGGGACAGGAUGAACACUGCUAUUCUCUCCUCUCCCACUGGAAGCAGAGUAAGUCUGAGUGGGGGACUUGCCAGCCCAGCCUCUUGCUCACUCACUGUUUUCCUUCCUGGGGACUGGCAUGCCUGCAAAGAGGUGACCAAGGAGGUGAGCUCACCUGAGUGGCCUUAGCUCUGCCCUUGCCCCUGCCCCUGCGUAGGGGGAAUGGUUCUGUGGGUGAACUCAAUUCCAGGAGCAGGAUACAGGAAGCUCCAUUUGGGGCUUGGAUACCAUGCUGUGGUUGCUAAUUCACCUUGUCUGCAUUAAAGUAGAUACUGCAUUUUAA
Callithrix jacchus (white-tufted-ear marmoset) is the source of this 6930-nucleotide long non-coding RNA. RefSeq lists it as uncharacterized. The record is from RefSeq and is a predicted model, not a curated record. Lineage: Eukaryota; Metazoa; Chordata; Mammalia; Primates; Cebidae.